AUGCUGAAAAGAAAGAAGGCCAAGGGGAAGAAGGUAGCUCCAGACCCUGUUGUCGCGAAGAAGCAGGAGGCCAAGAAGGUGCUGAAUCCCGUCUGAGGAAAGGCCUAAGAAUUUUGGCAUUGACAGCACAUCCAGCCCAAAAGAGACCUCGCCUGCUUUCUGAAAGGGCCUCGCCAUAUCAGGUUGCAGCAGCAGAGAGCCAUCUUCUAUAAGCAGCUGAAAGUGCCUCCUGCAAUUAACCAGUUCACCCAGGCCCUGGACCGCCAAACGGCUACUCAGCUACUUAAGCUGGCCCACAAGUACAGACCAGAGACAAAGCAAGAGAAGAAGCAAAGGCUGUUGGCCCGGGCUGAGAAGAAAGCUGCUGGCGAAGGGGAUGUCCCCACUAAGAGACCACCUGUCUUUUGGGCAGGAGUUAACACUGUCACCACCUUGAUGGAGAACAAGAAAGCUCAGCUGGUGGUGAUUGCACAGGCUGUGGAUCCCAUCACGCUGGUUGUCUGCUUGCCUGCCCUGUGUCGUAAAAUGGGAGUCCCUUACUGCAUUAUCAAGGGGAAGGCAAGACUGGGACGUCUAGUCCACAGGAAGACCUGCGCCACUGUCGCCUUCACACAGGUUAACUCGGAAGACAGAGGUGCUUUGGCUAAGCUGGUGGAAGCUAUCAGGACAAAUUACAACGACAGAUACAAUGAGAUCCAUGGUCACUGGGGAGGCAAUGUCCUGGAUCCCAAGUUUGUGGCUCACAUCGCCAAGCUUCAAAAGGCAAAGGCUAAAGAACUUGCCACUAAACUGGGUUAAAUGUACACUGUUGAGUUUUCUGUACAUAAAAAUAAUUAAAACAAUA
Callithrix jacchus (white-tufted-ear marmoset) is the source of this 844-nucleotide non-coding RNA. Lineage: Eukaryota; Metazoa; Chordata; Mammalia; Primates; Cebidae. The record is from RefSeq and is a predicted model, not a curated record.